UAGGGAAUCUUCGGCAAUGGACGAAAGUCUGACCGAGCAACGCCGCGUGAGUGAAGAAGGUGUUCGGAUCGUAAAACUCUGUUGUUAGAGAAGAACAAGGACGUUAGUAACUGAACGUCCCCUGACGGUAUCUAACCAGAAAGCCACGGCUAACUACGUGCCAGCAGCCGCGGUAAUACGUAGGUGGCAAGCGUUGUCCGGAUUUAUUGGGCGUAAAGCGAGCGCAGGCGGUUUCUUAAGUCUGAUGUGAAAGCCCCCGGCUCAACCGGGGAGGGUCAUUGGAAACUGGGAGACUUGAGUGCAGAAGAGGAGAGUGGAAUUCCAUGUGUAGCGGUGAAGUGCGUAGAUAUAUGGAGGAACAACAGUGGAGAAGGCGGCUCUCUGGUCUGUAACUGACGCUGAGGCUCGAAAGCGUGGGGAGCAAACAGG
This 429-nucleotide ribosomal RNA is filed under the name Gemmatimonadota bacterium. RNAcentral describes it as "Gemmatimonadetes bacterium partial 16S ribosomal RNA". It matches the Rfam family "Bacterial small subunit ribosomal RNA", at positions 355 to 776 of the family's 1533-position model. The record is from RNAcentral. Lineage: Bacteria; Pseudomonadati; Gemmatimonadota.